Molecule: ribosomal RNA, 429 nt
Filed under: uncultured bacterium
Lineage: Bacteria
Description: bacterial SSU rRNA
Rfam family: Bacterial small subunit ribosomal RNA
Source: RNAcentral
UGGGGAAUCUUGCGCAAUGCGCGAAAGCGUGACGCAGCAACGCCGCGUGGGGGAAGAAGGCCUUCGGGUUGUAAACCCCUUUCAGGAGGGACGAAGGUUCACCGGCGAAUAGCCUGGUGGACUGACGGUACCUCCAGAAGAAGCCCCGGCUAACUACGUGCCAGCAGCCGCGGUAAUACGUAGGGGGCAAGCGUUGUCCGGAAUCAUUGGGCGUAAAGCGCGCGUAGGCGGCCCGGUAAGUCCGCUGUGAAAGUCAAAGGCUCAACCUUUGAAAGCCGGUGGAUACUGCCGGGCUCGAGUCCGGAAGAGGCGAGUGGAAUUCCUGGUGUAGCGGUGGAAUGCGCAGAUAUCAGGAGGAACACCAAUAGCGAAGGCAGCUCGCUGGGACGGUACUGACGCUGAGGCGCGAAAGCGUGGGGAGCGAACAGG